RNAcentral lists this ribosomal RNA (458 nucleotides) under uncultured bacterium. RNAcentral describes it as "SSU rRNA". It matches the Rfam family "Bacterial small subunit ribosomal RNA", at positions 26 to 518 of the family's 1533-position model. The record is from RNAcentral.
AGAACGAACGCUGGCGGCAGGCUUAACACAUGCAAGUCGAACGCGUGUAGCAAUACACGAGUGGCGCACGGGUGAGUAACGCGUGGAUAUCUGCCUUUUGGUUCGGAAUAACCCCGGGAAACUGGGGCUAAUACCGGAUGGUUCCUUCGGGAUAAAGAUUUAUCGCCAAAAGAUGAGUCCGCGGCCGAUUAGCUUGUUGGCGAGGUAAUGGCUCACCAAGGCAAUGAUCGGUAGCCGGACUGAGAGGUUGGCCGGCCACACUGGAACUGAGACACGGUCCAGACUCCUACGGGAGGCAGCAGUGGGGAAUCUUGCACAAUGGACGAAAGUCUGAUGCAGCAACGCCGCGUGGGGAUGAAGCUCUCGGAGUGUAAACCCCUUUCGACCCGGAAGAAUGCCCGCAAGGGUAUGACGGUACGGGUAUAAGAAGCCCCGGCUAACUACGCGCCAGCAGCCGC